GUGCUCGCUUCGGCAGCACAUAUACUCAAAUUGGAAAAAUACACAGAAGAUUAGCAUGGCCCUGCUCAAGGAUGACAUGCAAAUUCAUAGUGUUCCAUAUUUUU
This is a small nuclear RNA of Acomys russatus (golden spiny mouse), 104 nucleotides long. The record is from RefSeq and is a predicted model, not a curated record. NCBI's taxonomy places the organism in Eukaryota, Metazoa, Chordata, Mammalia, Rodentia, Muridae.